This 446-nucleotide ribosomal RNA is filed under the name uncultured bacterium. RNAcentral describes it as "partial 16S ribosomal RNA". It matches the Rfam family "Bacterial small subunit ribosomal RNA", at positions 338 to 795 of the family's 1533-position model. The record is from RNAcentral.
CCUACGGGUGGCAGCAGUCGAGAAUCAUUCACAAUGGGGGAAACCCUGAUGGUGCGACGCCGCGUGGGGGAAUGAAGGUCUUCGGAUUGUAAACCCCUGUCAUGUGGGAGCAAAUUAAAAAGAUCGUACCACAAUAGGAAGAGACGGCUAACUCUGUGCCAGCAGCCGCGGUAAUACAGAGGUCUCAAGCGUUGUUCGGAAUCACUGGGCGUAAAGCGUGCGUAGGCUGUUUCGUAAGUCGUGUGUGAAAGGCGCGGGCUCAACCCGCGGACGGCACAUGAUACUGCGAGACUAGAGUAAGGGAGGGGGAACCGGAAUUCUCGGUGUAGCAGUGAAAUGCGUAGAUAUCGAGAGGAACACUCGUGGCGAAGGCGGGUUCCUGGACAGUAACUGACGCUGAGGCACGAAGGCCAGGGGAGCGAAAGGGAUUAGAUACCCCAGUAGUC